Molecule: small nucleolar RNA, 104 nt
Organism: Corylus avellana
Lineage: Eukaryota; Viridiplantae; Streptophyta; Magnoliopsida; Fagales; Betulaceae
Source: RefSeq, a predicted model, not a curated record
AUCCAUGAGGAGGGCACUUAAUCAGCAGAUCCUUAAAACGCUCCCAACUUUCAAAAAAAUUUCUCGUCUUCCUCCUGAGUGAAAGAGCUAAUCUCCUUUCGGCU